GUGGGGAAUCUUCCGCAAUGGACGAAAGUCUGACGGAGCGACGCCGCGUGAGUGAAGAAGGCCUUCGGGUCGUAAAGCUCUGUCAUCAGGGACGAACGGCCGGUGGAGUGGAAAGCCACCGGAUUGACGGUACCUGAGAAGGAAGCCACGGCUAACUACGUGCCAGCAGCCGCGGUAAUACGUAGGUGGCAAGCGUUGUCCGGAAUUAUUUGGCGUAAAGCGCGCGCAGGUGGGAUCUUAAGCCCAUUUUUAAAGUUCGGAGCUCAACUCCGUGAUGGGAUGGAAACUGGGAUUCUUGAGUGUCGGAGAGGAAAGUGGAAUUCCAAGUGUAGCGGUGAAAUGCGUAGAGAUUUGGAAGAACACCAGUGGCGAAGGCGACUUUCUGGACGAUGUCUGACGCUGAGGCGCGAAAGCUAGGGGAGCGAACGGGAUUAGAAACCCGAGUAGUCC
Molecule: ribosomal RNA, 450 nt
Filed under: uncultured bacterium
Lineage: Bacteria
Description: partial 16S ribosomal RNA
Rfam family: Bacterial small subunit ribosomal RNA
Source: RNAcentral